Molecule: transfer RNA, 4010 nt
Filed under: Sus scrofa (pig)
Lineage: Eukaryota; Metazoa; Chordata; Mammalia; Artiodactyla; Suidae
Description: lncRNA (ENSSSCG00000047236.1)
Source: RNAcentral
UCAGAACUGAAGAUGUUUCUGGCCAGAGAGUUUGAUUCAUUAAAAGAACACUAAUAGCAACAUAAACUCAUGUGCCUUUACACACACAAAAAUAAUGUUUCCUGAUUCGUAACCCAUGUGGCUGAGAGGGUCUCUUCUUUGUGUUAAGAAGCUAGAAAAGCUCACUUGAGAUCAUCUUAAUGUUCACUUAAUUAAUAAUUGAGAUCCUAUUAAUCCAGAAAAGAGCCAUUUGAGGAUUUUUGCAGACAUUGCAGGUAUGGACUAGGGCUCUGUGUAUCUUCUCACAAUAUUGGAGGAUUUUAUGUGUACAAAGGCCUACUAGGAAUCUUCUGCCCUUGCCUCCUUCUCCGUCACACACCUACAGCUCUGCUUUCCCAAGUAAAAUAUUGGAGUUCCUGCUGUGGCUCAGUGGUAACAAACCCAACUAGUGUCCAUGAGGAUGCAGGUUUGAUCCCUGGCCUUGCUCAGUGGGGUUAAGGAUCUGGUGUUGCUGCAAGCUGAGGCAUAGGUAGCAGACACAGCUCAGAUCUGGCGCUGCUGUGGCGUAGGCCGGCAGGCAGCUACAACUCUGAUUCAACCCCUAGCCUGGGAAUUUCCAUACGCCACAGGAGCAGCCAUAAGAAGGAAAAACAAAAAAUCUGUGUUAAGACCUCAGGAAGUUUUAAGGUGUUGCUUCAUAGACCCUUUCAAGCAUACAAAGACCUGCAAACUAUAAGCUCAGACAGUAGCUUUGCAGAGACUAAGGCAGAGAAGGGCUAAAUGAGAUUUGUGGGUAUGGUUUUGCCUAAUGGAGUGGGUCAUAAAUUGAUUCUUAAGAAGCCUGCAAUGUUUUUUCCUUAAAGAACUAUGAUGAACUUAAACCAUAAGGGACAUCAGGCCUUCGAAUUCCCAAAGGGCAGGAAGCAGUCUAAGAGAGCAACUCAGCUGCAAAGAUGGGCUACUUUUAGUGGAAAAGGAAAAGUGCCCAAAGGGUAGACUCAAGAGCAGAUAUGGUGAAUGACUUCCAAGAAACAGAACUGAGUCCUCAUCAGGGAACUGGCAGCACACACUCAGGAGGAUUGCAGAACUGCUGUGAGCCAGGGACUACUCUGGGCUCCCCACUUUUCUCCCUUUUGAGCCUAAGUGUCUAUACCUUGACCCACUGCUGUAUUUUGGGUAUGGUGGGGAGAUGGCUUGUCUCUUGAGUCACAGGUGUUCAGAUUGGGUGGAGCUACCCUAGGGGAUAGUAGCCAGGGAGCCUCAGCCACAUGCUACCAUAGGAUCUGGAAGCAUGGAUCGAUGUCGGGAGACAUGUUUCUACAAUAUUUUCUUAGCCACUCUGUUUCUAUUUUCUUUGCUAAAACCUCCAUCUUGUCCUGCCUUACUUUACCCCAUCUUCCUGCUCGAAAAACAGUUGCAGUGCUGGUAAACGACUUAAGCUUAAGAACAAAGACCUAAAGGCAUAAGUUAUUCUUAGGGUCAGCUGAAUGAGGACAGGGAUGCCGGACCUGUGCAGAUGGGCACGCCUGUGCAGAUGGGCAGGGCGUCUGCACAACAUAUGUCCUAUCAAAAUAAGAGAAAGAGGAACCUCAUGGCCCCAAGUGGUUUAUGAAUGGUCAUUAGCAGAAUAUGCAUCAGCAAGGAGAACCAAGGUGCAAACCUAGGCACCCCAGGUUGCCGCAGAUAGACAUGCCCUUUGUGGAAGCACAAUGGUGAUUCUUGAGAUGCUAUGCACAGAUAGCCAAGCUUCCCCAAAUGCUAAUGAUUGUUAAAUGCCUAAAGGUCAGAAUAAAAGCUUAAUCAUCUACCAGCUGUGUGACUUCUAAAAUAAUAAAAGAACUUCUAAAAUAAUACAAAAAACUAUAUCCUACACCUAUAACCCCCUCCUCACUUGACGUCAUCCUAAAGAGCACAGUAAAAGCAGUGUGGUUUCUUGAGGCAGCACUCUUGGUCCCUGAGACCUUGAGUCCCCCAGUUCCCACCUUUACUUAAGAUAAAUGUCUCUGUAUCUUGUUUUAUGUUAACUUUUCCUUAAGUUUCACGGCACCCGUUCUUCCGCCCUCACCUGCUGAGCUGUCUCGGCAGAUGGAGAGGAGGGGGAGUGAGUAUAUCUUACAUGUAGGGGAAAUGCAAAGAAUUCAUGUCCCAUGGGCCACCUGUGAAGUCUUAAAACAUGCCUGUGAAUUCGUUGAUGUUCUUCCCAACAAAAGAUAGAGCCCAAUUCCCCUUCCCUUGAAAGGGGCUUGCUUCUAACAAAUAGAAUAUGGCAGAAGGGAUCCUGUUUGACUUCUCAGACAAGCUCACAAAAGGGGAGGCAGUUUUGCCUUGUUUCUUUUCUCUUGCCAGGUUUGCUUUGGAAUCCACUGACCCCUGUGGGAGGUGGGCCAGCAGCCACCAGGGAGGGCAGGGUGGAGGUGUUCUGGCCACAGUCCAGCUGCGGUCCCAGCCCAGGGCCACUCUUACCCGGCAACCUGUGAGUAGGAAGGUGAGUUUUCAGAUGUGGUCCCAGCGCAGAGAUGCCACGGGGAGCAAAGACAAACUGUCCUUGCCAACCCCAGCCAAAUUAUAAAUUCAUGAGGAAAAUGAAUGUAAUCAUUGAUUUAAGGCACUACUUUUUGGAGUGGUUUGUUAUGUGGCAACAGAUUAACUGGAUGUUGAUGUGCAAAUACCUGCUAGAAAUAUCCCCAUAUGCAAAUGCAACCUUGUAACAGUCACAAGAUUUUAGGCAUUAUAAAUUAUAAUUUCUUUAUGGUUCCCAGAUUUAUCACUUACUAAUUGUGGGACCUUUAGUAAGUCAGUCUCUUGAACUUCAGCGUCUGCAACUAUAAAAUGGAGAUGAAAGUACUUGUCUUAAAAAAAAUGAUUUAUGUUGUGAGAUAACGGAUGUUAGCUAAAAAAAAGUCAUUUAUGAAUAUUAUCUAGCAACGAGCAAAAGGAUGAUGUAUUGGAUUCACAUGAUUACAACGAUAAAAAUGUACAGAAAUAGAUGAUUAGGUUAGUGGAAUUAAAAAUAUUUUUUUCCUUCUAUUUUCCAGAUUUCCUUAAAAUGAUUUACUUUAGUAAUAAAAAAUUAGAAAGUGUUCCCCAAAAUCCCAUUGCACACUCCCAGCCCAAACCCAGGGAAUAAAUCAAUGGUUAUUUCUUCUCAGUCUCCCUGCAGGUUAAACCAGGUAAAUGGUUUGGAAGAGAAACAGUGAUGAAACAGCUUCCUAUCCUUGGAAUCUGGGGGUCAAUACAGGAUUGACCCCAGAACCCAGAUUACUUGCCUCCCCAGCUAGCACACUAUUUCUUCCACCUGUAACCUCACAGUACUAGUUUUCACCUGUAUAGGCUAAGCCACACGAAAUGCCUUUAUUUAAAUAACUGGAAGUCUCAGCCAUCUGAUCUUAGGAGGCAUAUAAUCCAGUGAUUAGCAGAGUCAGUCAAAAUGCAUGCAUUGGAAACCUGCCUCCAGCACGUAUUAUCUGGGGUUUUUGUAGAUGUGAAUAAUGAUACUGGGGGGAGAUCAUCCUGGAUUACAAGGGUGGACCCUCUAUCCAAAGACACAGACACACGCAGGUCAGGGGAAGAGAGAAGUUAUGUAGCCACAAACCAGGCAAAGUCUGGAGCCACAGAAGCAGGGAGAAGUGGGAACGGAGUCUCUCUUAGAUCCCAGAGGAAGGACAGCCCUGAGGACAACUUCUAGCCCUCUGAACUGCGAUAAUACAUUUCUGUUGUUUUAAGACACCAAGUUUGUGAUGAUUCAUUAUGGCAGCCCUACGAAUAUAAUGCAAUGGAAGAAUCUUGCAAAUCACAAGGAUGAAGGGAAAAAAUUCAAAUGACAAGAAAAAAACCAUUUAAAGCUUUAAAAACAUGUAAUGGAUACUUUGUAUUAUUUAUAGAUAUAUACAUAUUGACAAAAAGCAUAAAGAAAAUGGGAGGGAAUUCCCUGGUGGUCUCAUGGUUAGGAUUUGGUGCUUUCACCACUGCAGCCUAGGUUCAGUCCCCAGUCUGGGAACUGAGAUCCCACACCAACCCACUACACACUGUGG